This 1235-nucleotide unclassified non-coding RNA is filed under the name Hevea brasiliensis (rubber tree). The record is from RNAcentral. Lineage: Eukaryota; Viridiplantae; Streptophyta; Magnoliopsida; Malpighiales; Euphorbiaceae.
UCAAAGAUCAAUCAAACUACAAGAGAAAAAGGAUAGAAAUUAAUAGAAAUCCCAUUUUCAUUUCUCAUGCUUCACAUCAAAAAAGGGGAAUAUAUAUAUAUAAGUCUAAGCCUUAAUCGAAUUGAACUGAUCGCACCUGUUCCUGACCUCCCCCUGACUCCCAGUCUUGAUAUCAAGAACGCUAAGCUUCUCCAUUGCAUGAGAAAAGUCCGAGAAGAAUGCCGAUUGGUCCUUUGCGUAAAGCUCUACAAAGGGCUUAGUCCUGGGGUCCUUAAAUAGCAAACUAUCGGUUAUUAACAGCCCUAGCCCUCUAGGCAAGUUCUGGUAAUACAUGUUAUCGAACUUGCCAGGUGUAAGCACAUCGUUGAAGGCGGACAUGGUUGAAUCUUUGGUGUAAUUAGCGCAGAAAGUCUUCAAUGCAGCGGCAUACUUUGGGUUGAAAUCAGGGUCUGUUGGGGUGGUCUUGCUGAAAUGGUAAAGCCUGUCAGCGAACUCCUUGCAGUGCGAGAAUCCGAUGGUGUGACCACCCAUCAAUGCAACAAAUUCCCUGGCGGUGAAUCCUCUCAACUUAAACAAAUCCAGCAUCUGAUCCAUGGUCAUGUUGGUUCUAGGGAGACUUUCUUCUGCAUGAGAGGCCUUAGAGAUUAGCCCGUCCUUCCGCCCUAGAUGAACAGUAUAGAAUGGUCCUCCAACCAUGAUGACGAGGUCGCGGGUGACCUGAGCGAGGAUGUCAGCGCAGGAAACGAUUUUAGGGCAUGAGAGUUCGAGGGCUGUCUUGGCUCUGACUACCACGUCGAAGGCGUCCCCAGGAAGGGCAUGGUUGAUAUCACCAUCUCGCUCAGCCUUAUUGAAAGCGUUAGAUGAAAUGAGAACGGAUGCGUCACAGCCGUCAACCAUGCAAUCAUGGAAGAAGAGACGUAAAGUGGCGGCAGCAGUGGUGGGGCUGCUGAUUUGCUUGUUGGUGACGGUGUCGCGAAUGAUAUUUUGGAAAUUAGGACAGGAGGUCUUGUAGUAGUCGACAGAAAGCUCGGACUCGGAGAGAGUAAAGGAGGGAAAGAGGAGGAGGAGGAGAAGAAAAGGAAAAGGGAAAGCCAUGCCCAUGAAUAUGGGAAUUCAAUAAGAAAGAAAAAGUAGAGGGGAAGGUGUGGUGUAGGGAGGAAGGUAUUGUUCCUUCCUUUGUCAAGAUCUCCGAUCGGCGGAAGAGGAAAUUGAAAAUGAUAAAGAGAUUAGGAAGA